Hylaeus volcanicus is the source of this 453-nucleotide long non-coding RNA. RefSeq lists it as uncharacterized. The record is from RefSeq and is a predicted model, not a curated record. The transcript has 3 exons. Lineage: Eukaryota; Metazoa; Arthropoda; Insecta; Hymenoptera; Colletidae.
ACCAAUCACGUUUAACGUUUCUUUGGAACUUUUAAAAACUCGAAUUUCAUUGGCCGAGUACCCGCAACCCAAUGCGCAGAAGAACGACGCCGAGAACGAGGCGUCCUUCGUUCGGCGGCAAUUGAACAGAGCAGACGUGUCGUGUCGAUCAGUGAUCCAGCAAUUAAUAGAUCUGACGCCAUGAGUCUGCGCGAUGAUCGCCAACCGCCAUUUCACGUUCAAAUGGCUACUUUACGUUGAAUAUUUCGAGCGAAAUUACUGGAUACGUCAUAUCAGAAAAGUUGUGCAGCUUACCGGGGAAAGCAGAAUAAUAGAUUCUAUACAUCAUGAAACAAAUGAACUUUGAAGUUCAACGUAAGGAAAGCAGAGCAACUCCGAAGUUCUACAUGGAUAAUGCAGAGCUACUCCGAUGAUCAGCAACAGCAGAGCUACUCCGAUGAUCAGCGACAGCAG